AAACGCUUGAAGUCAGUCGCAUCCUUCAGAAAUCAACCUGGCCGUCAGGUCUGGUGCACUUUCUGUUUGGAUGGGUCAGCAUCAAUUUUGAUCGUUGGAUAAAGGCUUGGGGAAUGUGGCAUCUUCGGAUGUGUUAUA
This 138-nucleotide ribosomal RNA is filed under the name Clavaria sp. Its description in RNAcentral is "partial large subunit ribosomal RNA". The record is from RNAcentral. Lineage: Eukaryota; Fungi; Basidiomycota; Agaricomycetes; Agaricales; Clavariaceae.